Prochlorococcus marinus is the source of this 80-nucleotide non-coding RNA. NCBI's taxonomy places the organism in Bacteria, Bacillati, Cyanobacteriota, Cyanophyceae, Synechococcales, Prochlorococcaceae. The record is from Rfam.
GAAUAUAACGUACAAAUAAUUUGCUCUUUAGUUUGCAGGCUAAAAGCAUUUCUUUCUAACCAUCUUAGGUGGUCUGCGUU